This 497-nucleotide ribosomal RNA is filed under the name uncultured bacterium. RNAcentral describes it as "partial 16S ribosomal RNA". It matches the Rfam family "Bacterial small subunit ribosomal RNA", at positions 28 to 507 of the family's 1533-position model. The record is from RNAcentral.
GAUGAACGCUGGCGGCGUGCCUAAUACAUGCAAGUCGAGCGAACAGACGAGGAGCUUGCUCCUCUGACGUUAGCGGCGGACGGGUGAGUAACACGUGGAUAACCUACCUAUAAGACUGGGAUAACUUCGGGAAACCGGAGCUAAUACCGGAUAAUAUAUUGAACCGCAUGGUUCAAUAGUGAAAGACGGUUUUGCUGUCACUUAUAGAUGGAUCCGCGCCGCAUUAGCUAGUUGGUAAGGUAACGGCUUACCAAGGCAACGAUGCGUAGCCGACCUGAGAGGGUGAUCGGCCACACUGGACCUGAGACACGGUCCAGACGCCUACGGGAGGCAGCAGUAGGGAAUCUUCCGCAAUGGGCGAAAGCCUGACGGAGCAACGCCGCGUGAGUGAUGAAGGUCUUCGGAUCGUAAAACUCUGUUAUUAGGGAAGAACAAAUGUGUAAGUAACUAUGCACGUCUUGACGGUACCUAAUCAGAAAGCCACGGCUAACUACGUG